RNAcentral lists this ribosomal RNA (253 nucleotides) under uncultured bacterium. Its description in RNAcentral is "partial 16S ribosomal RNA". It matches the Rfam family "Bacterial small subunit ribosomal RNA", at positions 524 to 776 of the family's 1533-position model. The record is from RNAcentral.
UACAGAGGGUGCAAGCGUUAAUCGGAAUUACUGGGCGUAAAGCGUGCGUAGACGGUUGCGUAAGUCAGAUGUGAAAGCCCCGGGCUCAACCCGGGAAUUGCAUUUGAGACUGCGUAGCUAGGGUGCGGAAGAGGGAAGCGGAAUUUCCGGUGUAGCGGUGAAAUGCGUAGAUAUCGGAAGGAACACCAGGGGCGAAAGCGGCUUCCUGGUCCAGCACCGACGUUCAGGCACGAAAGCGUGGGGAGCAAACAGG